GUGAAGUGAAUCACAAACAAACUUAUACCCCUUUGUUUGAUCGUGAAAAUUUCUCCCCAUCCCCUUAUUUCUUAUAAUAAAAAAACCAUGCAAUCUUUUGAUUUGCAUGGUUUUU
Bacillus sp. FJAT-22058 is the source of this 115-nucleotide non-coding RNA. The record is from Rfam. NCBI's taxonomy places the organism in Bacteria, Bacillati, Bacillota, Bacilli, Caryophanales, Bacillaceae.